GACGUAGGGCGCGAGCGUUGUCCGGAUUUAUUGGGCGUAAAGAGCUCGUAGGCGGCUUGUCGCGUCGUCCGUGAAAACUUGGGGCUCAACCCCAAGCUUGCGGUCGAUACGGGCAGGCUAGAGUUCGGUAGGGGAGACUGGAAUUCCUGGUGUAGCGGUGAAAUGCGCAGAUAUCGGGAGGAACACCGGUGGCGAAGGCGGUUCUCUGGGCCUUACCUGACGCUGAGGAGCGAAAGCGUGGGGAGCGAACAGG
RNAcentral lists this ribosomal RNA (253 nucleotides) under uncultured bacterium. RNAcentral describes it as "partial 16S ribosomal RNA". It matches the Rfam family "Bacterial small subunit ribosomal RNA", at positions 524 to 776 of the family's 1533-position model. The record is from RNAcentral.